UGGGGAAUCUUGCACAAUGGGCGAAAGCCUGAUGCAGCAACGCCGCGUGCGGGAAGACAGCCCUAGGGUUGUAAACCGCUUUCAGCAGGGAAGAAACUGACGGUACCUGCAGAAGAAGAUGCGGCCAACUACGUGCCAGCAGCCGCGGUGACACGUAGGCAUCAAGCGUUAUCCGGAUUUAUUGGGCGUAAAGAGCUCGUAGGCGGUUCGGUAAGUCGGGUGUGAAAACUCUGGGCUCAACCCAGAGAGGCCACUCGAUACUGCUGUGACUAGAGUGCGGUAGGGGAGCGGGGAAUUCCUGGUGUAGCGGUGAAAUGCGCAGAUAUCAGGAGGAACACCAGUGGCGAAGGCGCCGCUCUGGGCCGUAACUGACGCUGAGGAGCGAAAGCAUGGGUAGCAAACAGGAUUAGAUACCCUGGUAGUCCACGCCGUAAACGGUGGGCGCUAGGUGUGGGGAUCGUUUCCACGAUCUCCGUGCCGUAGCUAACGCAUUAAGCGCCCGCCUGGGAGUACGG
Molecule: ribosomal RNA, 515 nt
Filed under: uncultured bacterium
Lineage: Bacteria
Description: bacterial SSU rRNA
Rfam family: Bacterial small subunit ribosomal RNA
Source: RNAcentral